GGAUACCUACGGGAGGCAGCAGUGGGAAUAUUGCACAAUGGGGGAAACCCUGAUGCAGCGACGCCGCGUGAGUGAGGAAGUAUUUCGGUAUGUAAAGCUCUCUCAGCAGGGAAGAAAAUGACGGUACCUGACUAAGAAGCCCCGGCUAACUACGUGCCAGCAGCCGCGGUAAUACGUAGGGGGCAAGCGUUAUCCGGAUUUACUGGGUGUAAAGGGAGCGUAGACGGCUGUGCAAGUCUGAAGUGAAAUGCCGGGGCUCAACCCCGGAACUGCUUUGGAAACUGUACAGCUAGAGUGCAGGAGGG
This 305-nucleotide ribosomal RNA is filed under the name uncultured bacterium. RNAcentral's name for it is "bacterial SSU rRNA". It matches the Rfam family "Bacterial small subunit ribosomal RNA", at positions 333 to 656 of the family's 1533-position model. The record is from RNAcentral.